RNAcentral lists this ribosomal RNA (473 nucleotides) under uncultured bacterium. Its description in RNAcentral is "bacterial SSU rRNA". It matches the Rfam family "Bacterial small subunit ribosomal RNA", at positions 335 to 799 of the family's 1533-position model. The record is from RNAcentral.
ACUCCUACGGGAGGCAGCAGUGGGGAAUAUUGCACAAUGGGCGCAAGCCUGAUGUAGCCAUGCCGCGUGUAUGAAGAAGGCCUUCGGGUUGUAAAGUACUUUCAGCAGUGAGGAAGGUGGUAGUGUUAAUAGCACUAUCAUUUGACGUUAGCUGCAGAAGAAGCACCGGCUAACUCCGUGCCAGCAGCCGCGGUAAUACGGAGGGUGCGAGCGUUAAUCGGAAUUACUGGGCGUAAAGCGCAUGCAGGUGGUUUGUUAAGUCAGAUGUGAAAGCCCGGGGCUCAACCUCGGAAUUGCAUUUGAAACUGGCAGACUAGAGUACUGUAGAGGGGGGUAGAAUUUCAGGUGUAGCGGUGAAAUGCGUAGAGAUCUGAAGGAAUACCGGUGGCGAAGGCGGCCCCCUGGACAGAUACUGACACUCAGAUGCGAAAGCGUGGGGAGCAAACAGGAUUAGAUACCCUGGUAGGAUAGCG